GAUGAACGCUGGCGGCGUGCCUAAUACAUGCAAGUCGAGCGAACAGAUAAGGAGCUUGCUCCUUUGACGUUAGCGGCGGACGGGUGAGUUACACGUGGAUAACCUACCUAUAAGACUGGGAUAACUUCGGGAAACCGGAGCUAAUACCGGAUAACAUAUUGAACCGCAUGGUUCAAUAGUGAAAGGCGGCUUUGCUGUCACUUAUAGAUGGAUCCGCGCCGUAUUGGCUAGUUGGUAAGGUAACGGCUUACCAAGGCAACGAUACGUAGCCGACCUGAGAGGGUGAUCGGCCACACUGGAACUGAGACACGGUCCAGACUCCUACGGGAGGCAGCAGUAGGGAAUCUUCCGCAAUGGGCGAAAGCCUGACGGAGCAACGCCGCGUGAGUGAUGAAGGUCUUCGGAUCGUAAAACUCUGUUAUCAGGGAAGAACAAAUGUGUAAGUAACUGUGCACAUCUUGACGGUACCUGAUCAGAAAGCCACGGCUAACUACGUG
This 497-nucleotide ribosomal RNA is filed under the name uncultured bacterium. RNAcentral describes it as "partial 16S ribosomal RNA". It matches the Rfam family "Bacterial small subunit ribosomal RNA", at positions 28 to 507 of the family's 1533-position model. The record is from RNAcentral.